RNAcentral lists this ribosomal RNA (382 nucleotides) under uncultured bacterium. RNAcentral's name for it is "bacterial SSU rRNA". It matches the Rfam family "Bacterial small subunit ribosomal RNA", at positions 30 to 424 of the family's 1533-position model. The record is from RNAcentral.
AUUGAACGCUGGCGGCAGGCUUAACACAUGCAAGUCGAGCGAAGGCUUCGGUCUUAGCGGCGAACGGGUGAGUAAUACCUAGGAAUCUGCCUAUUAGUGGGGGAUAACGAAUCGAAAGGUUCGCUAAUACCGCAUACGUCCUACGGGAGAAAGGGGGGAGUCUUCGGACCUCUCGCUAAUAGAUGAGCCUAGGCCGGAUUAGCUAGUUGGUAGGGUAAAGGCCUACCAAGGCGACGAUCUGUAGCUGGUCUGAGAGGAUGGCCAGCCACACUGGAACUGAGACACGGUCCAGACUCCUACGGGAGGCAGCAGUGGGGAAGUAUUGGACAAUGGGGGCGAACCCUGAUCCAGCCAUGCCGCGUGUGUGAAGAAGGCCUCGGUU